This 378-nucleotide ribosomal RNA is filed under the name uncultured bacterium. RNAcentral's name for it is "bacterial SSU rRNA". It matches the Rfam family "Bacterial small subunit ribosomal RNA", at positions 28 to 404 of the family's 1533-position model. The record is from RNAcentral.
GACGAACGCUGGCGGCGUGCUUAACACAUGCAAGUCGAGCGGUAAGGCCCUUUCGGGGGUACGACGAGCGGCGAACGGGUGAGUAACACGUGGGUGACCUGCCCUCCAGCUCUGGGAUAAGCCUGGGAAACCGGGUCUAAUACCGGAUAUGACUCCAUGACGCAUGUUGUGGGGUGGAAAGCCUUGUGCGGCUGAGGAUGGGCCCGCGGCCUAUCAGCUUGUUGGUGGGGUGAUGGCCUACCAAGGCGACGACGGGUAGCCGGCCUGAGAGGGCGACCGGCCACACUGGGACUGAGACACGGCCCAGACUCCUACGGGAGGCAGCAGUGGGGAAGUCUUGCGCAAUGGGCGAAAGCCUGACGCAGCGACGCCGCGUGA